UGUUGUGGUGGGGAACCAACCUUUGUGCAGCCAAGUGCUCUGCAGCUGGAAUGGCCCCUGUGCAAUUCAUGUCACUGGGAUGGUGACACUUCUUCUAAACACCCUGAAGGAAAAGUAACUGAAACACCAAAACAGCAGCUCACUGCUGACCUUGAGCCAAAACAAGGAGAUGAACGAGGGGAUGGCUCUUUUUGGUGAAGUAACACGGGUGAAUAGAGCAGAAAUGGUUUCAGGUGUUUCUACUCACAAAAGUUCAUCCAUUGCAAACACAAAAAUCUUGGUAAAAAAGUGUUGAAAGGUAUUUGCAUUCCAAAUUUUUUGAUGUAUGUUUAGGAAGUCUUUAAGAGGUCAUGAUAUUAAUGAAGAAUUCUUAAGAGCAUUUCCUGAGUUCUCUGUUGCUUUUGAGAACAUCAGCUCUUGCCUAAAGUGACUGUUAAUUGGAUCAGUAUUUGUCUUGUAUCAGUGGUUUAAUGAAUGGAUGUGGAAUCUGAUGUCUCUCAUAGGAGGCUGAUGUUCAGAUUCAGUGUUUUGUAAAUACAGCUUCUGUGUUAGAGGUUUCCUAGAGGCAGCCAAACUGGGGGGCCCCAUCCCAUCCAUCUGCCUGUGGGGUGGAUGUGGGUCUGUGUGCAGGCUGCUUUAUGAUGUUUCCUCUCCUGAUUCAGUCAGCAAACAGGCUGAGAGGCCAGCCUGAGUAAAGGUUUAAUGUGGAGAGUGUUUGUAACCAGCGUCCCCGUGCUGGGUGUGACUGCUCUCCGUGUUCUGUUCAAAACAGCCAGGGCUGGCUGGGCUGUUUCAUUUGCCUUUCAAAGCCAUUUAAUGCACAUCCACUCCAAGGGCUGAGCUAAUUUUCUGCAGUCCAUGCAGUUACUUCUAACUCCAUCCUCUCUGUCUCUGAAGGCAUCUUGGAGGCUCCAGUGUUUCAGUUAAACCUAACAAUCUGCUGCUGAUAUGAUCUACUUCCAACAGCCCUUCUCACCCAGCUGGAGACUGGUCAAGGCAUCCUACCUCUGCUUACAGUCAAAGUCACCUGUUUUGCUGAGAUGCACUGAGUUUAACACACUCCUCCUCUUUUUUUUUUUCUUUUUUUUUUUUUUCCCAUUGGCUGUGAAGUGAUUUUAGGUAAGUAGCUUAGAUGGAACCAUUUACUCUUGAUCAAAUGAGUCCUAUUUCCAGCUGAAGUGUUGAAGGCUUCAUUCUCAAGGUCCAUCCCUAUUUCCCAAGAAGUGACUGUCCUGCAGCUGGAGGUGUGGGACUCCCCUCCAGCAGUUCAAACUGGCAUUCCUAUUCUCUGUGAUGUAACCUAGCAGGAAAGUUUGUGGCUUUCAUUCUUGUUUUUACAGAAGAUAAGAAAUCUAUUAAAAUUGCAUAUAUUAUGGUACAAUCUUGUA
Long non-coding RNA from Vidua chalybeata, 1388 nucleotides. RefSeq lists it as uncharacterized. Lineage: Eukaryota; Metazoa; Chordata; Aves; Passeriformes; Viduidae. The record is from RefSeq and is a predicted model, not a curated record. The transcript is spliced from 2 exons.